GAUGGAGGGGGAUAACUACUGGAAACGGUAGCUAAUACCGCAUAACGUCGCAAGACCAAAGUGGGGGACCUUCGGGCCUCAUGCCAUCAGAUGUGCCCAGAUGGGAUUAGCUAGUAGGUGGGGUAAUGGCUCACCUAGGCGACGAUCCCUAGCUGGUCUGAGAGGAUGACCAGCCACACUGGAACUGAGACACGGUCCAGACUCCUACGGGAGGCAGCAGUGGGGAAUAUUGCACAAUGGGCGCAAGCCUGAUGCAGCCAUGCCGCGUGUAUGAAGAAGGCCUUCGGGUUGUAAAGUACUUUCAGCGAGGAGGAAGGCAUUAAGGUUAAUAACCUUGGUGAUUGACGUUACUCGCAGAAGAAGCACCGGCUAACUCCGUGCCAGCAGCCGCGGUAAUACGGAGGGUGCAAGCGUUAAUCGGAAUUACUGGGCGUAAAGCGCACGCAGGCGGUCUGUCAAGUCGGAUGUGAAAUCCCCGGGCUCAACCUGGGAACUGCAUUCGAAACUGGCAGGCUAGAGUCUUGUAGAGGGGGGUAGAAUUCCAGGUGUAGCGGUGAAAUGCGUAGAGAUCUGGAGGAAUACCGGUGGCGAAGGCGGCCCCCUGGACAAAGACUGACGCUCAGGUGCGAAAGCGUGGGGAGCAAACAGGAUUAGAUACCNUGGUAGUCCACGCCGUAAACGAUGUCGACUUGGAGGUUGUGCCCUUGAGGCGUGGCUUCCGGAGCUAACGCGUUAAGUCGACCGCCUGGGGAGUACGGCCGCAAGGUUAAAACUCAAAUGAAUUGACGGGGGCCCGCACAAGCGGUGGAGCAUGUGGUUUAAUUCGAUGCAACGCGAAGAACCUUACCUACUCUUGACAUCCAGAGAANUUAGCAGAGAUGCUUUGGUGCCUUCGGGAACUCUGAGACAGGUGCUGCAUGGCUGUCGUCAGCUCGUGUUGUGAAAUGUUGGGUUAAGUCCCGCAACGAGCGCAACCCUUAUCCUUUGUUGCCAGCGNNCNGGCCGGGAACUCAAAGGAGACUGCCAGUGAUAAACUGGAGGAAGGUGGGGAUGACGUCAAGUCAUCAUGGCCCUUACGAGUAGGGCUACACACGUGCUACAAUGGCAUAUACAAAGAGAAGCGACCUCGCGAGAGCAAGCGGACCUCAUAAAGUAUGUCGUAGUCCGGAUUGGAGUCUGCAACUCGACUCCAUGAAGUCGGAAUCGCUAGUAAUCGUAGAUCAGAAUGCUACGGUGAAUACGUUCNNNNNNGUUUGAUCAUGGCUCAGUGAGGCCUCCGGACUNUGCUCGAAGAGGUUGGCAANNGACCACUUCGAGCCGGAAAGC
This 1326-nucleotide ribosomal RNA is filed under the name Klebsiella sp. Its description in RNAcentral is "bacterial SSU rRNA". It matches the Rfam family "Bacterial small subunit ribosomal RNA". The record is from RNAcentral. Lineage: Bacteria; Pseudomonadati; Pseudomonadota; Gammaproteobacteria; Enterobacterales; Enterobacteriaceae.